GUAUUAGAUCAUUACGUGAUAAGCCUCUGAAGAAAGACGUUGGGCCUUCCCUCAGUUAAGCUCAAGUCGCCAGCUGCUUCAAAACAAAGACCUGCAACUGGUAACAAACUCAGUCAAUGGGAAAAGAAGAACAGAGAAAGAAGACAAGCGUACGUCUUCUUCAGAAGCUUAUCGGGUAAUGAUCUA
Brassica rapa (field mustard) is the source of this 186-nucleotide non-coding RNA. NCBI's taxonomy places the organism in Eukaryota, Viridiplantae, Streptophyta, Magnoliopsida, Brassicales, Brassicaceae. The record is from RefSeq and is marked provisional.